GACGAACGCUGGCGGCGUGCUUAACACAUGCAAGUCGAACGGAAAGGCCUUGCUUUUGUGGGGUGCUCGAGUGGCGAAUGGGUGAGUAACACGUGAGUAACCUGCCCUUGACUUUGGGAUAACUUCAGGAAACUGGGGCUAAUACCGGAUAGGAGCUCCUGCUGCAUGGUGGGGGUUGGAAAGUUUCGGCGGUUGGGGAUGGACUCGCGGCUUAUCAGCUUGUUGGUGGGGUAGUGGCUUACCAAGGCUUUGACGGGUAGCCGGCCUGAGAGGGUGACCGGCCACAUUGGGACUGAGAUACGGCCCAGACUCCUACGGGAGGCAGCAGUGGGGAAUAUUGCACAAUGGGCGGAAGCCUGAUGCAGCAACGCCGCGUGCGGGAUGACGGCCUUCGGGUUGUAAACCGCUUUCGCCUGUGACGAAGCGUGAGUGACGGUAAUGGGUAAAGAAGCACCGGCUAACUACGUG
RNAcentral lists this ribosomal RNA (468 nucleotides) under uncultured bacterium. RNAcentral's name for it is "partial 16S ribosomal RNA". It matches the Rfam family "Bacterial small subunit ribosomal RNA", at positions 28 to 507 of the family's 1533-position model. The record is from RNAcentral.